GUGAGGAAUUUUCCGCAAUGGGCGAAAGCCUGACGGAGCAAUGCCGCGUGAAGGAUGAAGGCCUAUGGGUUGUAAACUUCUUUUCUCAGAAAAGAAUUAUGACGGUAUCUGAGGAAUAAGCAUCGGCUAACUCUGUGCCAGCAGCCGCGGUAAGACAGAGGAUGCAAGCGUUAUCCGGAAUGAUUGGGCGUAAAGCGUCUGUAGGUUGUUUAAAAAGUAUUCUGUCAAAGAUUAGGGCUUAACCCUAGAUAGGCAGAAUAAACUUUUAAGCUAGAGUUUGGUAGAGGCAGAGGGAAUGCCCGGUGGAGCGGUGAAAUGCGUAGAUAUCGGGAGGAACACCAAAGGCGAAGGCACUCUGCUGGGCCAAUACUAACACUGAGAGACGAAAGCGAGGGGAGCAAAUGGGAUUAGAUACCCUAGUAGUCC
Molecule: ribosomal RNA, 426 nt
Filed under: uncultured bacterium
Lineage: Bacteria
Description: partial 16S ribosomal RNA
Rfam family: Bacterial small subunit ribosomal RNA
Source: RNAcentral